This 71-nucleotide transfer RNA is filed under the name Metahomaloptera omeiensis. RNAcentral describes it as "tRNA-Ile". The record is from RNAcentral. Lineage: Eukaryota; Metazoa; Chordata; Actinopteri; Cypriniformes; Balitoridae.
GGAACCGUGCCUGAACGCCCAAGGACCACCUUAUAGAGUGGCUUAUGAGGGUUAAAGCCCCUCCAGUUCCU